GACGAACGCUGGCGGCGUGCUUAACACAUGCAAGUCGAACGGAAAGGCCCUUCGGGGUACUCGAGUGGCGAACGGGUGAGUAACACGUGGGUGAUCUGCCCUGCACUUUGGGAUAAGCCUGGGAAACUGGGUCUAAUACCGGAUAGGACUACGGCCUGCAUGGGUUGUGGUGGAAAGCUUUUGCGGUGUGGGAUGGGCCCGCGGCCUAUCAGCUUGUUGGUGGGGUGAUGGCCUACCAAGGCGACGACGGGUAGCCGGCCUGAGAGGGUGACCGGCCACACUGGGACUGAGAUACGGCCCAGACUCCUACGGGAGGCAGCAGUGGGGGAAUAUUGCACAAUGGGCGCAAGCCUGAUGCAGCGACGCCGCGUGGGGGGAUGACGGCCUUCGGUUGUAAACCUCUUCUAGCAGGGACGAAGGGUGGACUGAC
RNAcentral lists this ribosomal RNA (430 nucleotides) under uncultured bacterium. Its description in RNAcentral is "bacterial SSU rRNA". It matches the Rfam family "Bacterial small subunit ribosomal RNA", at positions 28 to 461 of the family's 1533-position model. The record is from RNAcentral.